This 467-nucleotide ribosomal RNA is filed under the name uncultured bacterium. RNAcentral describes it as "partial 16S ribosomal RNA". It matches the Rfam family "Bacterial small subunit ribosomal RNA", at positions 28 to 507 of the family's 1533-position model. The record is from RNAcentral.
GAUGAACGCUGACAGAAUGCUUAACACAUGCAAGUCAACUUGAAUUUGGGUUUUUAACUUAGGUUUGGGUGGCGGACGGGUGAGUAACGCGUAAAGAACUUGCCUCACAGCUAGGGACAACAUUUGGAAACGAAUGCUAAUACCUAAUAUUAUGAUAAUAGGGCAUCCUAUAAUUAUGAAAGCUAUAAGCGCUGUGAGAGAGCUUUGCGUCCCAUUAGCUAGUUGGAGAGGUAACGGCUCACCAAGGCGAUGAUGGGUAGCCGGCCUGAGAGGGUGAUCGGCCACAAGGGGACUGAGACACGGCCCUUACUCCUACGGGAGGCAGCAGUGGGGAAUAUUGGACAAUGGACCGAGAGUCUGAUCCAGCAAUUCUGUGUGCAAGAUGAAGUUUUUCGGAAUGUAAAGUGCUUUCAGUUGGGAAGAAACAAAUGACGGUACCAACAGAAGAAGUGACGGCUAAAUACGUG